RNAcentral lists this ribosomal RNA (1161 nucleotides) under Triticum aestivum (bread wheat). Its description in RNAcentral is "partial small subunit ribosomal RNA". Lineage: Eukaryota; Viridiplantae; Streptophyta; Magnoliopsida; Poales; Poaceae. The record is from RNAcentral.
AUGGCGAAGCCGAUAUCAAUAGAGGUGUGGAACCCCAGCGGCAAGUACCGUGUGGUGAGCACCAAGUCCAUGCCCGGCACCCGCUGGAUCAAGCUCCUCACUGACAACGACUGCCGCCUCGAGAUAUGCACGGAGAAGAAGACCAUCCUCUCUGUCGACGACAUACUGGCACUCAUCGGUGAUCACUGCCAUGGUGUCAUCGGCCAGCUAACAGAGGACUGGGGGGAAGUGCUCUUCUCUGCGCUCAAGCGCGCUGGCGGGACAGCCUUCAGCAACAUGGCCGUCGGUUACAACAACGUCGACGUAGAUGCUGCCAACAGGAAUGGCAUCGCCAUCGGCAACACGCCUGGUGUUCUUACUGAGACGACGGCGGAGCUAGCGGCAUCGCUGUCGGUGGCGGCUGCCCGGAGGAUCGUUGAGGCCGACCAAUUCAUGAGGGCUGGCCUCUACGACGGAUGGCUCCCGCACCUGUUUGUUGGGAACUUGCUCAAGGGGCAGACUGUUGGAGUGAUCGGAGCUGGCCGCAUCGGCUCAGCUUAUGCAAGGAUGAUGAUUGAGGGGUUCAAGAUGAACUUGAUCUACUUCGACCUGUACCAGUCCACACGGCUCGAGAAAUUCGUCACCGCGUAUGGCCAGUUCCUGAAAGCCAAUGGUGAGCAGCCCGUGACAUGGAAGAGGGCUUCCAGCAUGGAGGAGGUCCUCAGGGAGGCUGAUGUGAUAAGCCUGCACCCAGUGCUGGACAAGACAACGUACCACCUGAUAAACCCAGAGCGGCUGGCGAUGAUGAAGAAGGAGGCAGUGCUGGUGAACGCGAGCCGUGGCCCGGUGAUCGACGAGGUAGCACUGGUGGAGCACCUGAGGGCGAAUCCCAUGUUCCGUGUUGGCCUCGAUGUUUUUGAGGAUGAGCCUUACAUGAAGCCAGGGCUGGCUGAGAUGAAGAAUGCCGUUGUCGUGCCUCACAUCGCAUCUGCAUCCAAGUGGACGCGUGAAGGGAUGGCGACACUCGCUGCUCUUAACGUGCUUGGUAAGAUAAAGGGGUACCCGGUGUGGGGGAACCCGAACGCGGUGGAGCCCUUCCUCGACGAGAAGGCGGCGCCGCCCCCUGCCUGCCCAAGCAUCGUUAAUGCCAAGCAGCUCGGCCUGCCAUCUUCCAAGCUUUAG